Molecule: long non-coding RNA, 4309 nt
Filed under: Homo sapiens (human)
Lineage: Eukaryota; Metazoa; Chordata; Mammalia; Primates; Hominidae
Description: non-protein coding lnc-FAM237B-6:1
Source: RNAcentral
AGGCUUGCGGUAAGGAGCCUGCAGGAUGCACCUCGCUGUUAAAUAAGAACUGCCCUCGACAUAAGCAAUAUUGAAAUAAUUGCAGCUCAUCCAUGGCCAGAUGUUGACUAACAAGACCCUCCUGUUCCACAAGUCAUAACUGCAGGUUUGAUUGGACAAGGGACCGAUUCAGUAACUUUCCCCUGAUAAAAGACCACCCACUAUGGACUGGUUCUGGCAGGUUUACAGAGACUGAGCACUAGUACAUUCAUGUCUCUGCUUCUCCUUUUGAUGUAUAGGGACUGUAAUGCAUUUAAAUGUUAAGUUUCCACUCCACAGUGAGCAUGGGAUGCAUGUCACAUGCAUGUUUAUUCAGCACCCCUCUUAGUGAAGAUUCACAGCUCUUCUUACAAUCUGUUGAAUAUGUCUGUUUAGCCAACUCAUUCAGCAUAAAGCUUCUGCUCCAACCCCACCUCCUUCAAAGUGCCUGUUGACUGUCUCUGUGGGAGCCUGGGCUUCCCAGCCUGCAGAAUGGCCAGCCUGCAGGUUGUAACUCAUUAUAAGAAACAAAGUCUCCUUUCUAAAUUUAUAGAUCUUAUGAUUUUUCAGUUGACAUGUUGUUGCCUAUCCAUUGUAGACUGAAUAAUAAUACAAGAAGGGUCAAGACUAUAAUGGAAAGCUUCUCAUGAUGAUCAUCAGUAUAAUUUAAUAACUCAAACACCAUAACUGAAAAUUUAAAAAACUCUAACUCUUUUAAUCUGUUUUUUAAACUUUCAAAAAUUAUUCAAGAUUUAAACGUGCAUUUUUGUAUCUUCCAUAGAAUUUAUGAAUUUAAAAUUACAUAUAAAUUCAAUGAAAAUAAAUAUUACUUCACUUCUCAGAGCUUCUCUCCUCAUUUCUAGAAUGAGGUUGAUAAGUGAUUUUGAAGGUUCCUUCUGCCUCAGACGUUGAAUAUUUCUGGCCCUAAAAGAAAAAUGGUAACACUAGAUUAGGACUGGCAGCAUUUGAUUGUAAAUCCUAGCCGAAGAGACCAAGUUUUGUUGAGAGUAGUGAGCAUUUCUAGCACCUGUUUCCACACUUCUAGUCAUUCUUCCGCUUUUCUCAUCCUCAGCCCUCUGAAACUGUGAGAUCACCAACACUUGGGGUCAAAGUCUAUUAACAUUUUUCAGUUCUCAUCCUGUUAUACUAGUCUGUAGUAUUUUACACUGUUGACCCCUCUCCUCUUUUUACAACCCCCUUGCCUAGGCUUCCACAUUCUUUUUGUUUUUCUUUCAUCUCUACAGCUACUCAUUGGUAUCUUUAUGGGCCCAGCAUGCUUCUGCUGCACCACUCUGCUGCCUAGCUACUGAUAGAUAUCUUUAGAACCAUUCUUAGGCCUUAUUACAUCUAGAGGGCAGUUUAGUAGGUCUAAGGUUGCUUCCACCUAGGGAAAGUGCAAAGCAUGUUAAGUGUUUUAUUCAUAUGACUUAAAUUGCUGUUACACAGUCCAAGUAAACCACAUCGAAAGGAGACUGAAACUACUUGGAUGAAUACAAUGGAAUCCUGUGGAAUGGCACCCCAAACCAAGAUGGUGGCAGAGAGCUGACAAUUGGAUUAUUUGCAUAUCCUUUGUGUGGUCAUCCUAGCAUCUCAGGAUCAGGAAAGAUGAAGAGGAGGGAGGGGAAAGGAAAAAUUUCCACUUAAAGUAGAGCUUGCCUAGGAGACAUCAACUGACUCUUGUAUUUUAACAGCACAGGCUGAAGCUGAUAAGGGUCUUUAAGCCUCAGUAACCUUAGACAGGCACCUUCCUCACUGGACCUAACUGAAGAGACUUUCCUGACUAGUGAACAAUGGGAUAUUUAUUUUAUUUAACCAAUGGUGUAGAGACCUAUAUAUUCAUUCUGCCCCAUAUCCAGAGUGCCAGUUUCCAAUGCUUAAUUAGCAUAAGCCCCAUAAGCUCCCCACUUCUAACAUUUAAAAACCCCUGACUUUCCCUCCUCAGUGAAAUUCUUCAUGGAGUAAGUUCUCUUGCUUGGCAAGUUAAUAGACUCAGCUUUGUAAUUUUUUUUUUCUAGCUCUAACGGUAUUUGUUUUACUCAUGGACAGGUGAGAAGGACAAGGGUAGAGGAGUCUUCAAACACCCCACAGCCAGCCAUCUUGGGUGAAUUACUGCAGUUUUCGAAAGGUGCCAGCAGGUUUCCUCCCGCAUAACAUUUGCAUUAUGUUGUACAUGCCACCGUCUUCAGAUGGCUAAUCCCUAUGAAAUUCAGUUAACAUGACAUUUUCUAGGAAACCUUUACAUCCUUUGCUGUGUUGGGUGCAACCUUGUCUGUCAUUCCGUUUUUGUACUCAUCACAUACUUAAUGGUAUCAACUGGUUCAGCAAUUGGACCCCUUCCUACUGUACUGAGAUUCUUGAGAGUCACUUUGAUAUGCACCCCAGACCCUCAGCAUACUGUCUAGAGCAGUAGUUUUCAAAACCUAAUGUGUAUCAGAAUCGUCUGGAGAAAUAGUUAAAACAGAAUCUCAAGCCCUACCUGCAGAGUCUCUGCUUCAGUAAGUCUGGGUGAGGCCCAAGGAUAUGUGCUUUUAACCAGUUCCCAAACAAUGUUGAUGCUAUUGGUCUGGAGAACAUACUUUGGGACUUCCUGGUCCAUAUCAUACUAGUCACUCAAAAAAUGUUCAUUAAAAGAUUUCAAGGAUUAUAAAUUACUUUUUAUUUUGAUUUGAAGCCAAAUUAAAGCAUUUUGUAAGUUAUCCAAAGUAAGGUAAAUACUCCAGGUCCUUGCUACUCAAAAUGGGGUCCUUGGGCUACUUGCACUGGCAUUACUAGGGACUCUGUUAGGAAUGGAGACUCUCUUGCCGCCUGGUGGACCUACUGACUCAGAAUCUCCAUUCUGAGAUUCUGAUCUCUCAAGAUCCUCAGCCUCACAUCAAAAUUUGAGAAGCACUGCUCAUGUGUGUGAGUGUGUGUGUGUGUGUGUGUAUGUUUAUGUGUGUUGUCAUUAUUAUUGCUUUGGAGUAGUUUUAACAGCAUCCAUAAAACUGGUUUUCACUAAUUAUUCCAUUCGUGGAUUUUCCAAGUCCUUUGUUCCCAAAUAAUAGUGGGUUUACUUUUCUUCUUGGUAAGUGCACAAAGAUUAAGCUUCAUAAAAGCUUUAACUUUAUAUUUGGUAUGUUGACUUAAUUUUAAUCAUUAUUUAGUGAUUCUUCUGUUAUGACACAAAAACACAGAAGGGUGAAAGGGUGAAAUGACUACUGAAGGAGUAAAUUAUUUCAGCAAAAAGAUAAAUAGCAGAGAAACAUGGGAAAUGAGUUAUACCUACAGAAUAGAAAUGCUUGAAUGUGGUAACAAUUCUACAGAAUUUAAUAUCUCUGUUAAGUUACAAAUUGCAAUUUCUUAGUAGCACCUGUAGACUUAAAGAUUAACUAGUAGUUUUAAUAAUAUAUUGACUUACAAGUUUUACUUUUAAAAGUAACAAAGAAAGCUAAAAAUGUUUUAAAAUAAAUAUAUUGCAAAUUGUGGUUCUAUUUUCCUUCUGACUUUUUCUUGUUUGUACUCUGCCUAAUUAGCAAUGUUUAGUAAAAUUAUAAUUAUUUCUAAUCAUAUGAAUAAUUAUAUAUUCUUGAAUUAAGAAUAUGUCUAAUAAGUAUUUGAGACUAUAUAUGAAUUUUAUAGUCUCUAAUGCCAGAUGUUCUAAAUGUGCAAGCAAAUGUUAUUCCUUUCUGAAUUAGAGUAAUUUAUUUUAAAUAAAGAAUGUUUAUAGCACAUAUGAAAUCUAGUCAUAGUUUUUAGUAGGUUAGCUUUAGGGAAAUUCUGUAAGAGAAGAAAUGCAUACAAAACCAGAAUUUAUUAUACUUAAUUUUUUUUUUUUUUGAGACAGGGUCUCACUCUGUCACCCAGGCUGGGGUGCAGUGGCGUGAUCUCUGCUCACUGCAGCCCUGACCUCCCUGGGCUCAGGUGAUCCUCCCACCUCCCACCUUAGCCUCACGAGCAGCUGGAACUACAAGUGUGUGCCACCGUGUCUGGCUAAUUUUUGUUGUUUUUUGUAGAGAUGGGGUUUCACCAUAUUGCCCAGGUUGGUCUUGAACUCCUGGGUUCAAACGAUCUGCCCACUUUGGCCUCCCAAAGUGCUAGGAUCACAGGCGUGAGCCACCGCUCCCAGCCUAUACUUCACUGUUUUAAAAAACUUUUUCAGGUUGACAGCACAGAAACAAAGCCUAAAAACAAAACAAAAGUAAUUACCUCUUUCCAACAGAAUCAUUAAUGUACAUUUGGGAAGAAUAAGCACGUGGAACAGAAAACGAAAGUAAAAGAAUAGUCACCCCUGAAGACAACCAUUCUAAUGAAA